CCCUCCAAGCCUAAGUACUCCUUGAUGACCGAUAGUGAACAAGUACCGUGAGGGAAAGAUGAAAAGAACCCCGAUAAGGGGAGUGAAAUAGAACUUGAAACCAUGCACUUACAAUCGGUGGAAGCGUUAUUGUAAAGCGUGACCACGUACCUUUUGCAUUAUGAGCCAUCGAGUUACGAUGUGUAGCAAGGUUAAGCCUUUAGGUGUAGCCGUAGGGAAACCGAGUCUGAAUAGGGCGAUUAGUUGCAUGUCGUAGACCCGAAACGGGAUGAGCUUACCAUGGGCAGGUUGAAGCGAGGGUAAAACCUCGUGGAGGACCGAACCCGUUAAGGUUGAAAACUUUUGGGAUGACCUGUGGUAAGGGGUGAAAGGCCAAUCAAAUUCCGUGAUAGCUGGUUCUCUCCGAAAUGCAUUUAGGUGCAGCGUCUAAUGAAUACCGUCGGGGGUAUAGCACUGAAUUGGCUAGGGGGCUUACCGGCUUACCAAACCAUAUCAAACUCAGAAUACCGACGAGUACUGUUAGGCAGUGAGACUGCGGAUGCUAAGGUCCGUAGUCGAAAGGGAAAGAGCCCAGACCAUCAGCUAAGGUCCCUAAAUCGUGUCUAAGUGGCGAAGGUUGUGGAACUACUUUGACAUCCAGGAGGUUGGCUUAGAAGCAGCCACCCUUUAAAGAAAGCGUAAUAGCUCACUGGACUAGUGGUUCUGCGCCGAAAAUGUAACGGGGCUUAAGAUACGUACCGAAGCUAUGGACUUUUUAAAGUGGUAGGAGAGCAUUGUGUUUACCGAUGAAGGUGUACCGCGAGGAGCACUGGAGGUCCCACAAGAGCUGAUGAUGGCAUGAGUAGCGAUAAGGAAUGUGAGAAUCAUUCCCGCCGAAAAUCUAAGGGUUCCUGGGCCAGGUGACUCCGCCCAGGGUUAGUCGGAUCCUAAGGUGAGGCCGAAAGGCGUAAUCGAUGGAUAACAGGUUAAUAUUCCUGUACUUAGUAUGUCUCGCUUGACUUGAUGGAGUGACGGAGAAAGGUAGCAAAGCCACCUGUUGGAUGGUGGUUUAAGCACGUAGGGGGACUGGAUAGGUAAAUCCGUCUGGUUGUUAACCCUGAGAUGCGAAUACGAGGCGUAAGCCGAAGUUUGUGAUCCUCUGCUUCCCAGAAAAACUUCGCAAGGAGAGAUAUAUUAAUCCGUACCGUAAACCGACACAGGUAGAUGAGGAGAGAAUCCUCAGGCGCUUGGGAGAACUCUAGUUAAGGAACUCUGCAAAUUGGAGCCGUAACUUCGGGAUAAGGCUCGCCCUUGUUGGUGAUAUCACUUGCUGAUAAAGCUGAUGGGGGCCGCAGUGAAAAGGGGGUAGCGACUGUUUAUCAAAAACAUAGGUCUAUGC
RNAcentral lists this ribosomal RNA (1378 nucleotides) under Oxyrrhis marina. RNAcentral describes it as "partial Bacterial large subunit ribosomal RNA". It matches the Rfam family "Bacterial large subunit ribosomal RNA", at positions 456 to 1826 of the family's 2925-position model. Lineage: Eukaryota; Dinophyceae; Oxyrrhinales; Oxyrrhinaceae. The record is from RNAcentral.